CCAAACGUUUUCGGGACGUUGUUGGUUGACUCUGAAUACCCGUCGUUUUACUGUCAGUUUCGACUGACUCUAUCCGAGAAGGGUGUCUGCCCUUUCAACUAGAUGGUAAUCUAUUGGACUACCAUGGUUGUUACGGGUAACGGAGAAUUAGGGUUCGACUCCGGAGAGGGAGCCUUAGAAACGGCUACCACGUCCAAGGAAGGCAGCAGGCGCGAAAACUUAUCCACUGUUGAGUAUGAGAUAGUGACUAAAAAUAUAAAGACUCAUCCUUUUGGAUGAGUUAUUUCAAUGAGUUGAAUAUAAAUUAUUCUUCGAGUAGCAAGGAGAGGGCAAGUCUGGUGCCAGCAGCCGCGGUAAUUCCAGCUCUCCUAGUGUAUCUCGUUAUUGCUGCGGUUAAAAAGCUCGUAGUUGGAUCUAGGUUACGUGCCGCAGUUCGCAAUUUGCGUUAACUGUGGUCGUGACUUCUAAUUUGCUGGUUUGAGGUUGGGUUCGCCCUUCAACUGCCAGCAGGUUUACCUUGAAUAAAUCAGAGUGCUCAAUACAGGCGCUUGCUUGAAUAGCUCAUCAUGGAAUAAUGAAACAGGACUUCGGUUCUUUUUGUUGGUUCUAGAAUUGAUCUAAUGGUUAAGAGGGACAAACCGGGGGCAUUCGUAUCAUUACGCGAGAGGUGAAAUUCGUGGACCGUAGUGAGACGCCCAAUAGACGAAAGCUAUUUGCCAAGAAUGUCUUCAUUAAUCAAGAACGAAAGUCAGAGGUUCGAAGGCGAUUAGAUACCGCCCUAGUUCUGACCGUAAACGAUGCCAUCUCGCGAUUCGGAGGGUUCAUGCCCUACCGAGGAGCUACCCGGAAACGAAAGUCUUUCGGUUCCGGGGGUAGUAUGGUUGCAAAGCUGAAACUUAAAGAAAUUGACGGAAGGGCACCACAAGGCGUGGAGCUUGCGGCUUAAUUUGACUCAACCUGCUGUACGGCCAAGGCGGAUGUACGGUACAGCAGGAGUGAGUGUGUGGAGGCGACGCCCUCAAACACACUUUCUAUCUCUCAUAGCGAGCGUCGCCUUGGCAAGUCUGUGCGAUUGUGUACGUCGGUGCGAGAACGCGC
This is a non-coding RNA of Caenorhabditis japonica, 1098 nucleotides long. NCBI's taxonomy places the organism in Eukaryota, Metazoa, Nematoda, Chromadorea, Rhabditida, Rhabditidae. The record is from Rfam.